This 254-nucleotide ribosomal RNA is filed under the name uncultured bacterium. Its description in RNAcentral is "partial 16S ribosomal RNA". It matches the Rfam family "Bacterial small subunit ribosomal RNA", at positions 524 to 776 of the family's 1533-position model. The record is from RNAcentral.
UACGAAGGGGGGCUAGCGUUGCUCGGAAUUACUGGGCGUAAAGCGCACGUAGGCGGGUUGUUAAGUCGGGGGUGAAAUCCUGGAGCUCAACUCCAGAACUGCCUUCGAAACUGACGAUCUUGAGUUCGGGAGAGGUGAGUGGAACUGCGAGUGUAGAGGUGAAAUUCGUAGAUAUUCGCAAGAACACCAGUGGCGAAGGCGGCUCACUGGCCCGAUACUGACGCUGAGGUGCGAAAGCGUGGGGAGCGAACAGG